Molecule: small nuclear RNA, 108 nt
Organism: Tupaia belangeri (northern tree shrew)
Lineage: Eukaryota; Metazoa; Chordata; Mammalia; Scandentia; Tupaiidae
Source: Ensembl
GUGCUCGCCUUGGCAGCACAUAUACUAAAAUGGAAUGAUAUAGAUACAAGAUUAGCAUGGCCCCUGCACAAGGAUGACUCGUAAGUUCAUGAAGCUUCCACAUUUGUU